RNAcentral lists this ribosomal RNA (305 nucleotides) under uncultured bacterium. RNAcentral describes it as "bacterial SSU rRNA". It matches the Rfam family "Bacterial small subunit ribosomal RNA", at positions 335 to 638 of the family's 1533-position model. The record is from RNAcentral.
UAACCUACGGGACGCAGCAGUGAGGAAUAUUGGUCAAUGGGAGAGAUCCUGAACCAGCCAAGCCGCGUGAGGGAGGACGGCCCUAUGGGUUGUAAACCUCUUUUGUCGGAGAACAAAACCCGGGACGAGUCCCGGACUGCGUGUAUCCGAAGAAAAAGCAUCGGCUAACUCCGUGCCAGCAGCCGCGGUAAUACGGAGGAUGCGAGCGUUAUCCGGAUUUAUUGGGUUUAAAGGGUGCGUAGGCGGUCCGUUAAGUCAUCGGGUAAAUUGCGGGUCUUAACCCCGUCGAGCAGUUGAAACUGGCA